Musa acuminata AAA Group (dessert banana) is the source of this 1484-nucleotide long non-coding RNA. RefSeq lists it as uncharacterized. The record is from RefSeq and is a predicted model, not a curated record. NCBI's taxonomy places the organism in Eukaryota, Viridiplantae, Streptophyta, Magnoliopsida, Zingiberales, Musaceae. The transcript is spliced from 3 exons.
UUGACUCCCUCAUUUUGUCAAACUCGGAAGCAUUAUACAGUGUGGUGAUAGUUUUAUGCCACGCUUGCGGCCUGUCUUGUAAUUUAUAGCUGGCGUAGCAGCUUUUCUUUUCGAAAGUGGUGGUGGGAAGCACGUAGGAUACUAGCUUUGCCCUUUGUUUAUCUUCCUUCUCCCGACAUGACAUUGCCUAAGUGAUCUCGGGUCAUGGUUUCGAUCAGUCCAUUGUCAUUGGGCAGGCAUCAAGUACUGGUUUGUCAUGAGAGGGAAGAAGCUUGUUGAGCGGAGGACAUGAAAGAAGGCCGAGCAUCCAUUGCAGCCCGGCCGGUUGGAGAUUGUUGAUUGCGCUUUGGCUUGCACCGUCAACGAGUAACUUUCUUUCUUUCCUUCCGGGUGGGUAGCACCAUUGCAGCCUGCAAGUCUUCACCUGACUGGGAGGGACAAAAAACCAUGAAUGGUUUUGGAGAGAGGUCAUCAUCAGAACUAGCUUACCGUAGGGAUGGUUCUUGGAAGGACAUGGGAACAUCAAUGAGUGCCAUCUCGUUCGGUUUAGCAGCCACCGCGAUCUUGAUCUCUAUGUUCCUCGUCAUGGCCAUAUUUGAGCAUCUAAUCAAGCCAAGGGCAUCGUUUCUUCGCUCCCGAAACAAUGCACAUGGUUCGUCGGAGCUCGACCGGCCACAAGCUCAGAUUCAUCGCUCUCAGGAGAAGGUUCAGAAUUCCAUAACAGUCGGAACGCAGUGCGCAUCUGAUCUCUCUGUGUUAAUGCCGGGACAGCGGUUUCCCACUUACAUCGCACAGCCUGCUCCUCUACCUUGCCCCAGAGAGGGGAUAAUUUGGCCCUCCCAUGUUGCUCAUGUGUCCUACAUGUAGCUGAUGUGAUCUAUCGCCUAUAGCUUGGAAACAGCUGUCUGCAAUGUGAUUUGUUCAUACGAAUACGAUUUGAUUUUUCUUUCACGCUCAAAUGUAAUGCCAAAACCAAGACAUCCUUAAUCUCGGCAAGUAAUCGGGAUGUAAGCAGGUACAACAGCUGAUUUCUUGUGGGAGGAAAACCGAGGACGGGCUACUUUUCCUGUUUCCUUCUGCAGACCAUUUGAUGAGGGGAAAUGCCAAUGAAAUGAGAGUAAUCCAAAAAGCUUAAUCAACGCUACAAAAAUCUAUAAGGAAGCAGCUCAUCUACUUCUAAUGCAAGAAACUGAAGGCCAACUGGAAGGAAAAGAACGUAGCAGACACUUGAGCAAAGUCAGACCUGAGACACUAAUGCUUGAAGUUCCACAUCUGAUGAGACCAGGGAAUCGAUCAACCAUCCCAACAAAAAACCAUCUUCCUCUUGCAAUUGCUACACGAUCGAGCUUGGCCUCAUCGCCCUGUUUACAGAAGAAAGGAGAGAGCAACAUUAUUAACCAAGUGUUGUUGGAAAAUCCAAAUCUAAAGGUUCUUCAAAAGACUCGAAUUUGCUUCUUUUUAUGAUCCAGCCAUUUAUGGAUAGA